Molecule: ribosomal RNA, 1127 nt
Filed under: Levilactobacillus brevis
Lineage: Bacteria; Bacillati; Bacillota; Bacilli; Lactobacillales; Lactobacillaceae
Description: bacterial SSU rRNA
Rfam family: Bacterial small subunit ribosomal RNA
Source: RNAcentral
AAACAGGUGCUAAUACCGUAUAACAACAAAAUCCGCAUGGAUUUUGUUUGAAAGGUGGCUUCGGCUAUCACUUCUGGAUGAUCCCGCGGCGUAUUAGUUAGUUGGUGAGGUAAAGGCCCACCAAGACGAUGAUACGUAGCCGACCUGAGAGGGUAAUCGGCCACAUUGGGACUGAGACACGGCCCAAACUCCUACGGGAGGCAGCAGUAGGGAAUCUUCCACAAUGGACGAAAGUCUGAUGGAGCAAUGCCGCGUGAGUGAAGAAGGGUUUCGGCUCGUAAAACUCUGUUGUUAAAGAAGAACACCUUUGAGAGUAACUGUUCAAGGGUUGACGGUAUUUAACCAGAAAGCCACGGCUAACUACGUGCCAGCAGCCGCGGUAAUACGUAGGUGGCAAGCGUUGUCCGGAUUUAUUGGGCGUAAAGCGAGCGCAGGCGGUUUUUUAAGUCUGAUGUGAAAGCCUUCGGCUUAACCGGAGAAGUGCAUCGGAAACUGGGAGACUUGAGUGCAGAAGAGGACAGUGGAACUCCAUGUGUAGCGGUGGAAUGCGUAGAUAUAUGGAAGAACACCAGUGGCGAAGGCGGCUGUCUAGUCUGUAACUGACGCUGAGGCUCGAAAGCAUGGGUAGCGAACAGGAUUAGAUACCCUGGUAGUCCAUGCCGUAAACGAUGAGUGCUAAGUGUUGGAGGGUUUCCGCCCUUCAGUGCUGCAGCUAACGCAUUAAGCACUCCGCCUGGGGAGUACGACCGCAAGGUUGAAACUCAAAGGAAUUGACGGGGGCCCGCACAAGCGGUGGAGCAUGUGGUUUAAUUCGAAGCUACGCGAAGAACCUUACCAGGUCUUGACAUCUUCUGCCAAUCUUAGAGAUAAGACGUUCCCUUCGGGGACAGAAUGACAGGUGGUGCAUGGUUGUCGUCAGCUCGUGUCGUGAGAUGUUGGGUUAAGUCCCGCAACGAGCGCAACCCUUAUUAUCAGUUGCCAGCAUUCAGUUGGGCACUCUGGUGAGACUGCCGGUGACAAACCGGAGGAAGGUGGGGAUGACGUCAAAUCAUCAUGCCCCUUAUGACCUGGGCUACACACGUGCUACAAUGGACGGUACAACGAGUUGCGAAGUCGUGAGGCUAAGC